Molecule: long non-coding RNA, 252 nt
Filed under: Linum usitatissimum (flax)
Lineage: Eukaryota; Viridiplantae; Streptophyta; Magnoliopsida; Malpighiales; Linaceae
Description: long non-coding RNA (LUSI_LNC000577)
Source: RNAcentral
AAGAACAGUCUACUGUGUUCGAUGACAGGAUUGUGCUCGAUGAUGGGUUUAGCUGGACUAUUGACCAUUCACAUUCUCUGAGAAGUGGUGUGACAAGAGAAUGACAUAGAUUGAAAGAAAUGUUGGACACUAUCAACAUCGGAUCCGCAAGACUUGUUUGGCCAUUCAAGGUGACUAGAUAGUUCUCAUCAGUAUCGCUGUGCUGGACGCUAUUGUGGUAUCGCUUGCAAUUAGCAGGAGACUCCUCGAUGA